Molecule: ribosomal RNA, 612 nt
Filed under: Trichoderma viride
Lineage: Eukaryota; Fungi; Ascomycota; Sordariomycetes; Hypocreales; Hypocreaceae
Description: eukaryotic LSU rRNA
Rfam family: 5.8S ribosomal RNA (bases 223-376)
Source: RNAcentral
GACUGCGGAGGGGUCAUUACCGAGUYKAGYAACUCCCAAACCCAAUGUGAACGUUACCAAACUGUUGCCUCGGCGGGAUCUCUGCCCCGGGUGCGUCGCAGCCCCGGACCAAGGCGCCCGCCGGAGGACCAACCUAAAACUCUUAUUGUAUACCCCCUCGCGGGUUUUUUUAUAAUCUGAGCCUUCUCGGCGCCUCUCGUAGGCGUUUCGAAAAUGAAUCAAAACUUUCAACAACGGAUCUCUUGGUUCUGGCAUCGAUGAAGAACGCAGCGAAAUGCGAUAAGUAAUGUGAAUUGCAGAAUUCAGUGAAUCAUCGAAUCUUUGAACGCACAUUGCGCCCGCCAGUAUUCUGGCGGGCAUGCCUGUCCGAGCGUCAUUUCAACCCUCGAACCCCUCCGGGGGGUCGGCGUUGGGGAUCGGCCCUCCCUUAGCGGGGUGGCCGUCUCCGAAAUACAGUGGCGGUCUCGCCGCAGCCUCUCCUGCGCUAGUAGUUUGCACACUCGCAUCGRGAGCGCGGCGCGUCCACAGCCGUUAAACACCCAACUUCUGAAAUGUUGACCUCGGAUCAGGUAGGAAURCCCGCUGAACUAAGCAUAUCAAAAGGGGAGGGGA